UGUGACUUGAUAUAAAAUUCAGAACUUGUGCACAUAAACAGAGUGAACUUUCUACUCUUUCUUCACAACUUUUCUUCCUCAACUCUCCUUUUUUUCACUUUCCUUUUUUCAUACUUUUUUUAUAACUAAGAACAAGAGCAAAUAUAACACUUGCACACACUUUUUUUUUGAAACAAGACACAACCGUCAGCGUUCUAACUUGACAGGCUCAAAGUUUAAGCGAAGGAUGAUAUCGGUUUCAGAUUUUCCUUAGGGAUUUGUAGAUAUAAAAGAGGCACAAAGGACACACAAAGGAUAUGAUGAUCAGCAACUAAACAAAACUCUAAUGGACUG
This 333-nucleotide long non-coding RNA is filed under the name Sorghum bicolor (sorghum). RNAcentral describes it as "long non-coding RNA (SBIC_LNC005180)". The record is from RNAcentral. Lineage: Eukaryota; Viridiplantae; Streptophyta; Magnoliopsida; Poales; Poaceae.